GUGACGGACCCCCAGCCGCCCGCGGCCCGGGACCCCUGCCUACCCUCCGUCUCGCCCGCCGGGCUGUGGAACUAGCGCGUGCCCCCUCGCCGGCCUCGACAUCUCCCGUCCGUCCCUCACUCGUGGUGGGGCGCAGCUCCUGGUCCCUCAGCUGCGCGCCGCCCCACGCGGCCGGGCUGCCGGAUCUAGGGGGUCCGCGUCUCCCUGGCUCUCCAAGGGCUAAGGCCGUGAUUCUAGAGCGGCUGGGCGUCCAGGGCCUCGCUUCAAGGUUACUGACUUUUUAUGAUGUUUGGUGGCUAUGAGACUAUAGAAGCAUACGAAGAUGAUCUUUAUCGAGAUGAGUCAUCUAGUGAACUGAGUGUUGAUAGUGAGGUGGAAUUUCAACUCUAUAGCCAAAUUCAUUAUGCCCAAGAUCUUGAUGAUGUCAUCAGGGAGGAAGAACAUGAAGAAAAGAACUCUGGGAAUUCGGAAUCUUCGAGUAGUAAACCAAAUCAGAAGAAGCUAAUCGUCCUUUCAGAUAGUGAGGUCAUCCAGCUGUCAGAUGGGUCAGAGGUCAUCACUUUGUCUGAUGAAGACAGUAUUUAUAGAUGUAAAGGAAAGAAUGUUAGAGUUCAAGCACAAGAAAAUGCCCAUGGUCUUUCUUCUCUUCAGUCUAAGGAGCUGGUUGAUAAGAAAUGCAAGAGUGAUAUUGAGAAGCCUAAAUCUGAAGAGAGACCAGGUGUAAUCCGAGAGGUCAUGAUUAUAGAGGUCAGUUCAAGUGAAGAGGAAGAGAGCACCAUUUCAGAAGGUGAUAAUGUGGAAAGCUGGAUGCUACUGGGAUGUGAAGUAGAUGAUAAAGAUAAUGAUAUCCUUCUCAACCUUGUGGGAUGUGAAAACUCUGUUACUGAAGGAGAAGAUGGUAUAAACUGGUUCAUCAGUGACAAAGACAUUGAGGCCCAGAUAGCUAAUAACCGAACACCCGGAAGAUGGACCCAGCGAUACUAUUCAGCCAACAAAAACAUUAUCUGUAGAAAUUGUGACAAACGUGGCCAUUUAUCAAAAAACUGCCCCUUACCACGAAAAGUUCGUCGCUGCUUCCUGUGCUCCAGGAGAGGACAUCUCCUGUAUUCCUGUCCAGCCCCGCUUUGCGAAUACUGUCCUGUGCCUAAGAUGUUGGACCACUCAUGUCUUUUCAGACAUUCCUGGGAUACACAGUGUGACCGAUGUCAUAUGCUAGGCCACUAUACAGAUGCUUGCACAGAAAUCUGGAGGCAGUAUCACCUAACGACCAAACCUGGACCACCCAAAAAGCCGAAGACCCCUUCAAGACCAUCAGCCUUAGCAUAUUGCUAUCACUGCGCGCAAAAAGGCCAUUAUGGACACGAAUGUCCAGAAAGAGAAGUGUAUGACCCGUCUCCAGUAUCUCCAUUCAUCUGCUACUAUGAUGACAAAUAUGAAAUUCAGGAGAGAGAAAAGAGACUAAAACAAAAAAUAAAAGUACUCAAGAAAAAUGGGGUUAUCCCAGAGCCAUCCAAGCUACCUUAUAUAAAAGCAGCAAAUGAGAACCCCCACCAUGAUAUAAGGAAGGGCCGUACCUCGUGGAAAAGCAACAGGUGGCCUCAAGAAAAUAAAGAAACACAAAAAGAAAUGAAGAACAAGAAUAGAAACUGGGAGAAGCACAGGAAGGCUGACAGACAUCGUGAAGUGGAUGAGGAUUUUCCCAGGGGCCCCAAAACCUACUCUUCUCCUGGCAGUUUUAAAACCCAGAAGCCUUCUAAGCCCUUUCACCGUUCAUCACAUUACCACACGUCAAGAGAAGACAAGUCUCCCAAGGAGGGCAAGAGGGGCAAGCAGAAGAAAAAGGAGAGGUGCUUGGAAGAUGAUGACAAUGAUAACUUAUUUCUUAUUAAGCAGAGAAAAAAAAAGUCUUAAGCCGUCAGGCAGCCUCUGAUGUGGCUUUUCAUUAUUCAUUUGGCCUUUGUGUCUAUAACCUUCUGGCAUUGUGUUUAUUAUCUAUGAUUAAAUAAAGUGAGUUUUUGGUUUUGUUUUUUUAAUUUCAGCCAUUCCUAGAGUUACUGAAUAUCCAUGGAGAUCUCAAUUCUCUAUGUCCAACAGGAUAUUAGGUAAGAAAGUACAAAGAUAAACCUGGACUUCUCCUAUUCCAAUAUGUCAUCUUUACUCAGAAUCCUAGGGAUAGGUAGAAGAAUUCAUCUUUUCAAGAAAGCUUUUUAAAAAUACUUUGGAAAAAAAAACUGCAUCAAAGGUAAUUCAUCCUCAACAUGAGUAUGAAAUUAAAUCCUUGCAGGAAGAGAAAUUAACACUAAGAAAAAGUCAUCAAUAUUUUUCAACUUUUUUUUUUUUACUUUGGAAAGGACAAUAACUAUAAACCUAUAUCCAGAUUUUCUUGCUGCUGAAGCUGUUGUCAGAAUCUUCCUUUGGACAAAACAUCACUAGCUGACCGUAAAAACAAAAGUGUCAUCAUUGAAGCCCUGAAGAGGCAGGGAAUUGAGCUUCAGCAAAAUACAGGAAAAGAACUAUCCAGUAUAAAUGUCAGAAGACAGAUUUCCUAAACAAGUAAAAGAGACAUCAAAAAUUUUAACAUAAUCACAAUGAAAUCAUUUUUUACCACUUUUACAGCAGUUUUUCAAGCGGACUGUCACUCAGAUCUGCAGAGAUGAAUAUUACUCAAAAAAUUGUUUUGUUCUCUUGCAUUUUUUUCAACUACCGCAAAGCUCUACAGAUUUUUUUGUACUUGUGGAUCUUUUGUACUUCUCAUAGCCUAAUGUCAGACUAAGAAAAAUAAAAUAUCUGAAAGAGAGUAAA
RNAcentral lists this small RNA (2802 nucleotides) under Pongo abelii (Sumatran orangutan). Its description in RNAcentral is "processed transcript". Lineage: Eukaryota; Metazoa; Chordata; Mammalia; Primates; Hominidae. The record is from RNAcentral.